This 828-nucleotide ribosomal RNA is filed under the name uncultured bacterium. Its description in RNAcentral is "bacterial SSU rRNA". It matches the Rfam family "Bacterial small subunit ribosomal RNA", at positions 60 to 872 of the family's 1533-position model. The record is from RNAcentral.
AGUCGUGCGAGAAGGAGGCUUCGGUCUCUGAGUAGAGCGGCGCACGGGUGAGUAACGCGUGGAUGAUCUACCCUUGAGUUCGGGAUAACGGUGCGAAAGCGCCGCUAAUACCGUAUAACAAUCCAUUUCAUCGUGGGUUCAAAGCAGGCCUCUUCAUGAAAGCUUGCGCUUGGGGAUGAGUCCGCGUCCCAUUAGCUUGUUGGCGGGGUAACGGCCCACCAAGGCAACGAUGGGUAGCUGGUCUGAGAGGAUGAUCAGCCACACUGGAACUGAAACACGGUCCAGACUCCUACGGGAGGCAGCAGUGGGGAAUAUUGCGCAAUGGGGGAAACCCUGACGCAGCGACGUCGUGUGAGGGAAGAAGGCCUUCGGGUCGUAAACCUCUGUCAGAAGGGAAGAACAUCCGGGAGUCGAACAGCCUCCCGGCCUGACGGUACCUUCAGAGGAAGCGCCGGCUAACUCCGUGCCAGCAGCCGCGGUAAUACGGAGGGCGCAAGCGUUAAUCGGAAUCACUGGGCGUAAAGCGUGCGUAGGCUGCUUGAUAAGUCAGACGUGAAAUCCCUCGGCUCAACCGGGGAACUGCGUUUGAUACUGUCGAGCUAGAGUCCUGGAGAGGGUGGCGGAAUUCCUGGUGUAGGAGUGAAAUCCGUAGAUAUCAGGAGGAACACCGGUGGCGAAGGCGGCCACCUGGACAGGUACUGACGCUGAGGUACGAAAGCGUGGGGAGCAAACAGGAUUAGAUACCCUGGUAGUCCACGCGGUAAACGAUGGAUGCUAGGUGUCGGGGAGCGAUCUUCGGCGCCGCAGCUAACGCAUUAAGCAUCCCGC